CCAGCCAAUGAGAAACGGGCCCAGCCGGAAGGACGGUGCUCGGCGAACGGAAGUGGGGUGUAGGCGGGUUUUGGGUAGCGGGAGGUGGAGUGCGGCCAGGGCACGGCCACGUGGGCUGUGCCGGCACGCGCCAGGGGAGAACGCGGAGGCGGGGUGCUCGCCGCUGGCAAAGCUGACCCGCCUGAGCAGCGGGACUAGAGCGGCCUCGGUGGCGCAAGAGCAUCUUUACAGACACCGUAGAGACGCGAAAGGGGAACAGCCUUCCUCAGGCCACGAUGCUGGAGGCGGUGGGAGUGAUGAGACCCAUUGGGCGGAGGAGAAGAACCUGAGGGUCUCAGGUAGGAAGCCCGUAGUCCAUGCUUCCCGUCCAAGGCCCUCGGCCUGGAGAGGUGGGCCGGGCCGACGGGGUAGGCAAUGAAGAACUGCACAAGCAGGCUCUGAUUCCGGGGUUCCAGCUCUGGCUCGGCUUCUGUUUUCACCUUGUAGCCUCUGGCCAACCCCCUCCGAAGUCUGGGCAUCGGCCUUCGUAAUGAGAGGGUCAGAAAGAGUGAUCUGGUCCUAACUGGUUCAACAGGAACAACUUGAGUUGCUGUUUUUGAAAUACCUAAGAGAGCCCCAGCGGUUUGGCUCAGCGGAUAGAGCCUCGGCUUGAUUCCUGUCAAAGGCACGUGUCCAGGUUGCGGGCUCGAUCCCCAGGAGGGGGCGUGCAGGAGGCCGCCAAUCAAUGAUUCUCAUCAUUGAUGUUUCUAUCUCUCCCCUCUCCCUUCCACUCUGAAAUCAAUAAGAAUAUAUAUAUAUUUUAAAAAUACCUAAGAGAGAACCCCCCGCCCCGCUACACAAACACCUGUUGUUAAUCAGAGCCCUCAUCUUUCAGACCCAGCCAACGCCAUUGAUGUGUUCUUUUGCUGGGAAAAGCAUGGUUCCUCUGGUUCCUCUGCACUUGAAUCCAUUAAAAUAAAGGAGCUCAAAUUCAAAUAUAAGGGCCAGAAAGAGGCAGAAAGCGACACCGAGAAUCCAUUCCAAACGAGCAGCCAAGGGGAGCUGCGGCAGCUCCCAGAUGUUGAUGUUUUGUUUUUCGACAUAAAUCUUUGCACUCA
Long non-coding RNA from Eptesicus fuscus (big brown bat), 1097 nucleotides. RefSeq lists it as uncharacterized. The record is from RefSeq and is a predicted model, not a curated record. The transcript has 2 exons. NCBI's taxonomy places the organism in Eukaryota, Metazoa, Chordata, Mammalia, Chiroptera, Vespertilionidae.